AUUGAACGCUAGCGGGAUGCUUUACACAUGCAAGUCGAACGGCAGCGCGAGAGAGCUUGCUCUCUUGGCGGCGAGUUGCGGACCGGUGAGUAAUAUAUCGGAACGUGCCCAGUAGCGGGGGAUAACUACUCGAAAGAGUGGCUAAUACCGCAUACGCCCUACGGGGGAAAGGGGGGGAUCGCAAGACCUCUCACUAUUGGAGCGGCCGAUAUCGGAUUAGCUAGUUGGUGGGGUAAAGGCUCACCAAGGCAACGAUCCGUAGCUGGUUUGAGAGGACGACCAGCCACACUGGGACUGAGACACGGCCCAGACUCCUACGGGAGGCAGCAGUGGGGAAUUUUGGACAAUGGGGGAAACCCUGAUCCAGCCAUCCCGCGUGUAUGAUGAAGGCCUUCGGGUUGUAAAGUACUUUUGGCAGAGAAGAAAAGGUACCUCCUAAUACGAGGUACUGCUGACGGAUCUGCAGAAUAAGCACCGGCUAACUACGUGCCAGCAGCCGCGGUAAUACGUAGGGUGCAAGCGUUAAUCGGAAUUACUGGGCGUAAAGCGUGUGUAGGCGGUUCGGAAAGAAAGAUGUGAAAUCCCAGGGCUCAACCUUGGAACUGCAUUUUUAACUGCCGAGCUAGAGUAUGUCAGAGGGGGGUAGAAUUCCACGUGUAGCAGUGAAAUGCGUAGAUAUGUGGAGGAAUACCGAUGGCGAAGGCAGCCCCCUGGGAUAAUACUGACGCUCANACACGAAAGCGUGGGGAGCAAACAGGAUUANAUACCCCUGGUAGUCCCGCCCUAAACGAUGUCAACUA
RNAcentral lists this ribosomal RNA (800 nucleotides) under Alcaligenes faecalis. RNAcentral describes it as "bacterial SSU rRNA". It matches the Rfam family "Bacterial small subunit ribosomal RNA", at positions 28 to 818 of the family's 1533-position model. Lineage: Bacteria; Pseudomonadati; Pseudomonadota; Betaproteobacteria; Burkholderiales; Alcaligenaceae. The record is from RNAcentral.